GUGCUUGCUCAGGCAGCACAUAUGAUAAAUUGGAAUCAAUACAGAGAAGAUUAGCAUUGCCCCUGUAAAAGGAGGACACACAGAUUUGGGGGCGGGGUCUUGUACCCUU
This 109-nucleotide small nuclear RNA is filed under the name Mola mola (ocean sunfish). Lineage: Eukaryota; Metazoa; Chordata; Actinopteri; Tetraodontiformes; Molidae. The record is from RNAcentral.